ACGCUGGCGGCGUGCCCUAACACAUGCAAGUCAACUUGACUGAAGGAGCAAUCUGACAGUAGAGUGGCGCAAGGGUGCGUAACGCGUAAGUAACUUGCCCCAAGGUGAGGAAUAACGUCGAGAAAUCGGCGCUAAUACCUCAUAAUGCAGCGGAUCCGCAUGGAUAUGUUGUUAAAGGUUUACCGCCUUGGGAUAGGCUUGCGUCUGAUUAGCUAGUUGGUGUGGUAACGGCACACCAAGGCUACGAUCGGUAACUGGUCUGAGAGGAUGAUCAGUCACACUGGAACUGAGACACGGUCCAGACUCCUACGGGAGGCAGCAGUGAGGAAUAUUGGGCAAUGCUCGAAAGAGUGACCCAGCAACGCCGCGUGGAGGAUGAAGGUAUUCUAUAUCGUAAACUCCUGUGAGAGCAGACGAAAGACAGAUUAUUAAUCUGGAUGACUGUAUGCUCAGAGGAAGCCCCGGCUAACUACGUG
This 476-nucleotide ribosomal RNA is filed under the name uncultured bacterium. RNAcentral's name for it is "bacterial SSU rRNA". It matches the Rfam family "Bacterial small subunit ribosomal RNA", at positions 33 to 507 of the family's 1533-position model. The record is from RNAcentral.